This 512-nucleotide ribosomal RNA is filed under the name uncultured bacterium. RNAcentral's name for it is "partial 16S ribosomal RNA". It matches the Rfam family "Bacterial small subunit ribosomal RNA", at positions 30 to 523 of the family's 1533-position model. The record is from RNAcentral.
AUUGAGCGCUGGCGGCGUGCUUAACACAUGCAAGUCGAACGCGAAAAGGGCUUCGGCCCUGAGUAAAGUGGCGCACGGGUGAGUAACACGUGGAUAAUCUGCCCUUAUGAUCGGGAUAACAGUCGGAAACGGCUGCUAAUACCGGAUACGCUCAAAAUGAACUUUUGGGGGAAAGGUGACCUCUGCUUGCAAGUUACCGCAUGAGGAUGAGUCCGCGUCCCAUUAGCUUGUUGGUGGGGUAAUGGCCUACCAAGGCAACGAUGGGUAGCCGAUUUGAGAGGAUGAUCGGCCACACUGGGACUGAAACACGGCCCAGACUCCUACGGGAGGCAGCAGUGGGGAAUAUUGGACAAUGGGGGGAACCCUGAUCCAGCAAUGCCGCGUGUGUGAAGAAGGCCUUAGGGUUGUAAAGCACUUUCAGUGGGGAGGAAGUUGCGUGUGCUAAUAUCAUACGUAAUUGACGUUACCCACAGAAGAAGCACCGGCUAACUCUGUGCCAGCAGCCGCAGUAA